This 497-nucleotide ribosomal RNA is filed under the name uncultured bacterium. RNAcentral's name for it is "partial 16S ribosomal RNA". It matches the Rfam family "Bacterial small subunit ribosomal RNA", at positions 28 to 507 of the family's 1533-position model. The record is from RNAcentral.
GAUGAACGCUGGCGGCGUGCCUAAUACAUGCAAGUCGAGCGAACGGACGAGAAGCUUGCUUUUCUGAUGUUAGCGGCGGACGGGUGAGUAACACGUGGAUAACCUACCUAUAAGACUGGGAUAACUUCGGGAAACCGGAGCUAAUACCGGAUAAUAUUUUGAACCGCAUAGUUCAAAAGUGAAAGACGGUCUUGCUGUCACUUAUAGAUGGAUCCGCGCUGCAUUAGCUAGUUGGUAAGGUAACGGCUUACCAAGGCAACGAUGCAUAGCCGACCUGAGAGGGUGAUCGGCCACACUGGAACUGAGACACGGUCCAGACUCCUACGGGAGGCAGCAGUAGGGAAUCUUCCGCAAUGGGCGAAAGCCUGACGGAGCAACGCCGCGUGAGUGAUGAAGGUCUUCGGAUCGUAAAACUCUGUUAUUAGGGAAGAACAUAUGUGUAAGUAACUGUGCACAUCUUGACGGUACCUAAUCAGAAAGCCACGGCUAACUACGUG